Apis florea (little honeybee) is the source of this 384-nucleotide long non-coding RNA. The record is from RefSeq and is a predicted model, not a curated record. Lineage: Eukaryota; Metazoa; Arthropoda; Insecta; Hymenoptera; Apidae.
UUUCUAAAAUUUGUAUUGAUGUUAAAUUGAUUUAUUUUCUUUUAUUUUAUUUUUUACAAAUAUUCUUACCUAGCCGCUAAAUCACAAUGUGCAAUGUUCAUGGAUUCCAGGUAUUUCAUACCAGAUGCAAUUUGGAUAAUAAAACUUAAACGGCUGCCAUAGCUGCGAAGAAUGGACAUGAAUUGAGAUACGAAGAAAUGACAUCUUAAUACAUCAUUAAGGAAGAUCCCCAAAUUGACCGUAUUCGAAUAUAGCUCCGAAUGGUUCUUCUUCUACUAAAGCUAUCAUCUUCGCUAUGUUCGAAUUUUGAAGCAUUGCCAAAACGUGCAUAUCUUUCGUGAAAUCCAAUCUAAAUAUACACAAAUAUUUUUAACAGAAAUGCAA